AGCUGCCCUAUUCUUAUCACCUGGUAGCCAGUUUCCUGUAUCAAUUACUAAAACAUUUCUAAAGCAAUUGUAGAAUAACUAAGACCCCUUUUGUGUAUUGUACAACUGAUACUCUCCUAUAACUCUUACUUUACAUUGACCUCUUCUAAUGAGGAAUCUUUUUGAUAUUUGAUGGGAAACAGCUAUAGAGGAAGUAUUUACUUUGAUAGCUACUUGACCUUGACCAAUGCAAGGCAAUUCAUAUACUGAGCCAGGCACCUUGGAGAUAGAAGUAGAUAAGAUAUAGUCCCUGUCCUUGAGAAACUCACAGUCCAGUAAGGUAAACAAUCACAAGAACAAGGUUAGAAAGUGUCCUGCAAUGAAGGUGCUUAUAGCCAGUUAAUGAUAAAAUCUAAAAAUGCCAGCCUGCUACUUAUAAAUACCUACAUUUAUCACUUGUGUAUCUAAAAUUUCACUAUGAGGUGGUUUAUUCCCAUAAAGUAACAAAAUAUCCAGAGAUUCCCUAUCAGAAUGAAAAUUCCCACAAGAAAAUAAGGAUGGGUGAUAGAUUUAAGUACUAGUUCCAAGUCUUUUGAACCAGAGUAACUGCCGGAAACAGGAACAUUGUGUUGAGUCUGAGGUUGUUUCAGCUCAGCAGAGAAGAAUAAUCCCAUGAAUGAAGUUGGGGGAAGACAGCACUUAAGCCACACAGUUUCUAUCCAUGAAAUACAUGAUGAAGCAGGAGGAAGUCACCCCUGGAUAUCUAGGAGAAGGAAACUGGUUAAUCUACCUCACCAUUGAGAAUUCACCAUCUAUCCCCAGGCUAAAUGGCCUUAAGAGGCCCAGUUUCUCUCUUGUCAGAAUAGAAUCUACCUUCAUCCUUCUGGGCUCACCAAGAAUGGAAAUGGUAAGUGCAUAUGUGCUCCCUAAGAGCUAG
This 916-nucleotide long non-coding RNA is filed under the name Marmota monax (woodchuck). The record is from RNAcentral. Lineage: Eukaryota; Metazoa; Chordata; Mammalia; Rodentia; Sciuridae.